AGGGCCAGACUAGCAGCAUAUGGAGUUCCCAGGCUAAGGGUUGAAUAAUAGGAGCUGCAGCUGCCAGCCUCUGCCACAGCCACAGCCACAGCCACACAGGAUCCUGAACCCACUGAGUGAGGCCAGGGAUUGAACCCAUGUCCUCAUGGACACUAGUCAGGUUUAUUACCAUGAGUCACCACAGGAAUUCCAUGAUUUUCUUAUUUAUCUUUCCAGCAUAAUGACUAUAUUUUUAUAUUCCUCUAAACAGUUAGGAAAACUGCUUAUUUUUAAUGAAUUAUGAGUGUAAUUUUGAACGGAUAUAUACUUUUAUCAGUAGAACUGCAUCAAGUCAUACUUACCAGAAAAUAAUGAACCAAGUACAAUUCUUUGUAUAGACCCUCCAUUCACAAUGAACUCACUUGGAAAUUAUAAGUUUGGUGAGAUGUCUAUAUUUUGGACAAGAAUUAAGACCCCCUGAGGAAAUGCAUAUUAUCUAUGCAUAAAACAUGUAAAUUUCUCCAGUCAUUGGUAGGCUGAUAGAUGAUGGUACAUGCUGAGGCAGAAAACAGAUUGUCAUUGAAAUAUUUUCAAAGACAUAGGUCAGGUAGCAGGGAAACCAGUUAUGUGUGAGAACCUUAACAUUAGCACCUGCUUCAUUAUGCAGAAAGCUCUCUCGGAGGUAUGAAGGAGAACACGGUGAGGCUCCCAGGGCAGGUUCAGCCCUACUGAGGCAACACUCCAGAACGCGGAGUUCACUUAAGGCAGCAAUACUGGGAGAAUGGAGGAUGCACGACUGUCACAAUUUUAAGAAUGGACUUUUAAACAGUUGUCGAUAUGCUAAAAAAAUAGGCUACCUGGACCAUGCUAUAUCUUUUCACACAUUUGUAAAUUUGUUACCAAUCAUAGGCCAGGAGAAGGUAAACUUUAUUCAUUGAUUCAUCAACUUUCAUUAUGUAAUUCCUUGUACCAGGCCCUGUGCUACAUGCUGGGAACAUAGCAGUGAAUCUGACAACAGGGCUUAUCAUCUGUUAAAGAAAACAGAUAUAAAACUAUUCAUUACACAAUUAUUAUUGUGGCACAUGUAACAAAGAAGAGAGGCAGGUAGGAGCAUGUUAUGUUUCAAAAUUGAGACAACCAAUGUGGCUCCUUUCAUCCAACAAAGAGAAGUUAUGCUAGAGUAGGUUUGCUAAGAUAAUCAGGAGGCUGGAUUAUUUAGGGCAUUAGAAGACAUAUUAUAUGUCUUCUUUUUUUUUGUAUUUUUAGGACUGCACCUGCUACAUAUGGAGGUUCCCAGGCUAGGGGUCAAAUCAGAGCUGUAGCUGCUAGCCUACGCUGCAGCCACAGCGAUGCCAGAUCCGAGUGACAUCUGCAACCUAAACCAUAGCUCAUGGCAAUGCCAGAUCCUUUACCCACUGAGUAAGGCCAGGGAAUGAACCUGCAUCCUCAUUUAUACUAGUCAGAUUCAUUUCAGCUGAGCCAUGAUGGGAACUCCAUUCAAGGGAAAAAAGAAUAGAUCCUAGGGUAUCAGUCAGAAGGCUCUGGCAGUAUCCAAGUGAAAAUGAUUGUGGUUAGGUACAGAAUGAUAAUAGUAGAUACGAAUAAAAUUAAAAACCAUAAGAGUAAGAGUUAAAACUGAAGUAAUUCGGUGAGAGAUUAAAUGUAGAGAGUGAAUGAGAGUGGAGAUGAUAUCCUUGUCUCUUUUUGGUGGCAGCGCCAUUUACUGAGGUAGAUUAUACUAGAAAAAAAUUAGUUCAGUUUUAUAUGUGCUAUAUGUAAGAUACCCAUAAAAUAUCCAAGUAGAGAGACUGAGACGGAUGUUGGACACAGUCUUAGAAGUCAGAAAAGAGGUCUGUGUUGUUGAAAGUAAGAUAAGAUACUAAGUCUGAGAAAUGGCAGCCAAAGAAGUGAGAGGAGAAAAAUGUGAGAAGGCAGUGACUCUAAAUCAAGGGAAGUGAAUAUAUCAAGAAGAAACUGUAAUUAAUGUCAAAAGGUGAUGAGCAGUUGAAGAAGAUACAGCCCUUAUUCCAUUAUCUGUCAAUCCUAUGCAAGAUGGUUCAUGUGCAUGGCCAGCUAGGUGGUGCUAGUUUUCAGCUGGAAACUCAGAACAAUCACUGGGAAUCCUCAGUUCUUUCCCACAUGAACCAUUCCAUGGGGACAGUUUGGGUGCCCUCAUACCAUGGCAACCAGCUCAAUCAGCAAGCAUUCCAAGAUAAAGGAAGUUUUCUAAUGUCUAAGCCCAGAAAAUGGUACAAUCUCAUCUCUACUAUAAUCUAUUGGUCAAGCAAUCAUGUUAUUCACUAAGAUUGACAACUGUGAUUCACCAUUCAUUCAAGGGAAUGAGACGGACCAUGCUUUUUGAAGGAGGACUGUCAGAAAUCAUGACAUCUUUAAUCUACCACAAACCUCAAUAUUUUAUUAUAUAAUCCUUAUCAUUGUAACAUGUUUUCUAAGCAGAAAAGAUUGAAAAUAACCUAAAAAUCCAUCACUGAGAUUAAAUUACUUAAAUUAUCUUAUGUAAAUAAUCAUUUAAGUUAAAUUAAUUUAAAUUUAUAAAAUUACAUACUAUGCAACUACUAAAAACAAUGGGGAUACUUUUAAUAAAAUACUAUAAAAUGUUAUCAUGAGAUAUUUUGAGUCAAAAAAGCAAAAGUUAGUAUGUAUAUAGUAUGUUACCAUUUGUGCAAAAGGAGGGAAAUAAAAUACAUUUGUAUUUACCUGUAUAAGCAUAAAACACAUAUGGAAUAUGUAUUCUCAGAGGGGUGCUAUCACCCCCCAAAAGGGCAAAAAUUAGUUCUUGUGUGGGAAGAAUCUUAAUGUUUCUAUGUGUAAAGCACAAUUACAUAUAGAGUGCAAAAAAGAUACACAAUAUACCUGUGUAUUCAAAUUAAGGGGGGGCAAUAAUUUGGAAAAAAAAUGCCUUUGAGGGCUCUUUAGAUGAUGGAAAAAAGGUUGAGAAAUACUUUUUUUGAAAGAUAUACAGCAAUGAGUUCAUAUGGUUGCUUGCAAGAACAGAAAUGAGUACUGGGAGGAGAAAGUGAUGAGACUAAGAGCAUUCAGAGUAUGCUCUCUCAUAUUGUUGAUAUUAGAACCAUGGGAAGAUAGUAUCUAUCAAAAUUUAAAUUAAAAAAUAAAAUUUAAAAAGAAGGUAAUCAUUUUUAAUUAUAUGGUAUUACUGAAUAGAAGCUCUUUCAGCAUAGGUUACAGUAUAUAAAAUCUUAAAGUUUUGAAAGACUAGUCUGGGCAAGGAAUUAAUUUCACUUAGUUAUCGUGACUAUUCAAAGGAAAAGCUGGUAGAGCGGCAUUUUAUGUAAAACAUUAAAAGUCAAUUAUUAAUACAUAUUCAAGGUAAACUGUUUUGAAAGACAGGUUGUGUGGGUACCUGUUUCAUUCUGAAGGGACAGAGAGUGUGAAGGACCCAGGGGUGUGAAGGACCACAGUCAUUCUCUGAAUGCUGAAAUGUUCCCUCCUUCACACUCCAGGAUGGGAGAAGCAGCUCUAAGAUUUACAGAGGUAGAUUUAAUGUGAACAAUAAAAGUCCUUAGCAACAUUUAGAUUCAUAGGAAAAUUUUUUACAUGUACCAACGCCACAACUGACACCACAGAAGUAUAUAGCCAUGGUAAAUGCUUGGCAAUCUUCUUCUAGCUGGACACACCCAUGUGGAAAACUGGCCAAAUAAACAUGUACUUGCUUUAAUCUCUGUUCCUUACCACUGAAAAUCCACAGUAGGGUUGUAGCUCUUGGACUGCUGAAGUCACCAGGGGAUGAGCAAAUUAGACUUGACCUUGGUAUGUGAAUGACGGCAUGGAUCACUGGGAGCUGGACCAUGUCCUAGUAAGAGAAUCAGCCUCGCCCAGUGUUGCAAGCAGCAGCCAGCGGCAGAGGCCACAUGGUGCUAUGUUGCCACUAUGACCAAUACAGGGCAGACUGGAAGGAUAAGGAGGAGACUUGGAAGCACUAAAUAGUUACGGCUUUAGUCUAAUACAGGCCUUUCAAAACACUGCCUAUUUCAUCAUCAGCAUUCCUACCUCCUUCCAAUGAUCUAAUAUCAAAUUUUUUAAAUUACUCAAUGAAUUUUAUUACAUUUAUAGUUGUACAAUGAUCAUCACAACCCAAUUUUAUAGCAUUUCUUUGAUGAAACUGAAUUAAUUACAUGAAAAUUCCACAGAGAGUACGUGGCUAUGAUGCACUGAAAAUAAUUCCAAAAGUCCAUUUAGACCAUCCAACAUCUCCUAAAUUCAGUCUUAGGUCAUAUCAAGUGCAACUCCAAUUGCAAGUGCCCUUCCGAAAAGAAUGUGAAUACAGGUGGUGCAGCCUAAACCGUAAGUUCUGUUCAACAAUGCAUAAAAGCAAAUGCCAAAAAUCACCAGGGGAUGUGUAGCUACUCCUUGCCAACUCUGCAUGUACUCCAUUGCCCAGAAAUGUACCUCUCUUUUGGGUUUCUCUAUGAACACUCACAUAUGAGUUGUUAGAAAGAGAAUGGUGGUUAAUUCUCACUAAACUACUCUGGUGGUCUUAACAGAAUGCCAUACACUAGGUGGCUUAACAACAGUCUAGAAACUGAAGUCUGAAAUCAGGAUACCAACAUGGUCAAGUUCUGGUGAGAAUUCUCUUCCUGUCUUGCAAAUGGCUACCUUCAUGCUAUAUGCUCACAUGGCCUUUUUCUCAGUGUGUGUGUGAGGGGACUUUCUCUUCCUACAAGCCCACCAAUCCCAUUGGAUUAGGACCCUGCCCUUAUGACCUCAUUUAACCUAAUCUCCAAAUACAGUCAAAUUAGGGAUUAAGGCUUCAACAUACAGAUUUGUGGGGGGGCAGGGGGUAGGGUCCCAAUUCAGUCCAUGGCAUCUAUACACAAAUAAGAAAUAUUCCAAUAUCAAGAACGAAAAUUUUGGUUGACAAUUAGGUUAAAAAUGACAUAAGAAGAGCUUGGAAAUGGAGCCAUCAAUUCAGAAAACAAAACAAAACGCAAAAUAUGGCACCCUUAUCUGAUACUACAUGCUCCUCUAAUGAUAAAAAUGCAUCUUGGCCCUAUGGCAAUGACUUUUUCCUUUAAACUGAGGCAACAGCCACAUAAUAAACUUCUCUAGUUAAACCUUUUAAAAGUGUAUAAUUCAGUAACUUUUAGUACACAUACAAUGUUGUACAACCACCACCAUUAUCUGAUUCGGGAACAUUUUUAUCAUUCAGAAAAGAAAUUCUGUACCUGUUAAGGAGUCACUCUCCAAUGCCCCAAUCCAAGUCCCUAGUAUGCAUUUUUUAACCUUAAGGAAAGAAAGUUACAAAGGUGUACUUAUUCUUUACACUGAGGAAAAAAAGAAAAAAGAAAGGCACCAUUUUAAUGGCUAUUGCUACCACUAACUCAGAGAGUUUAUAACAUAAGAGUACAGAGUCUUUGUGUUAUUUUGUCAUAGAAAGGACAAUUUCUAGAACUUCAUAGAAACAUGGAGUCAGAGAUCAUGAAGAGAAUCUCUGUUUCUGGGAAGUUCCCCUGUGGCUCAGAGGGUUAAGGAUCCAGUACUAUCACAGCUGUGGUGCAGGCAGCAACUGUAGCACAGGUUCGAUCCCUGGCCUAGAAACUUCCAUAUGCCAUAGGUGGUGGGGAGGGGAGAGGUGACAAAGCUAAAAAAAAGAAAAAAAGAAAAAAAAAGGAAAAGGGGAUCUCUGUUUCCAACAUAUCUCUAAACACAUAAUACUAAACAGCCGAAAAAAAAGUUAGGGAUAUCAUGUCCUCACACACACUUCUCUACAAAGAGACAGAUUUUUGUUGAAAUAUGUUUAAGAAAUUCUAAAUCAGACUGUUAACAGAUUUCUUUGCCAAGCAAAAAGGAUGGAUACAGAACCAACAGGGAGGUUUUGUUUUUUUAUUUUAAUUAUCAGGGUAGAACACCAGUUGCAACCUGGUGGUUUUUCACAGCAAAUGGACCAAAGACACAGAUGGGUUUUUAUUUUUCAAAGAAAUUGAACCAAUAAUGUAAUAUUUGUAAAUUUUAUACAAAAUGUAUAGACUUCCAGCUUCACUUUAAAAAUACUAGGUUUGAGUUCCCGUUGUGAUGCAACAGAUACAAAUCUGACUAGUGUCCAUAAGGAUUUGGGUUCCAUCUCUGGCCUCGCUCAGUGGAUCAGGGAUCAGGCAUUGCCAUGAGCUGUGGUGUAGGUUGCAGACACAGCUUGGAUCCCGAGUUGCUGUGGCUGUGGCAUAGGCCAGCAGCUGUAACUCCAAUUAAACCCCUAGCCUGGGAACUUCUAUACGCCUUGGGUACAGUCCUAAAAAAGCGAAAAAAAAAAAAAAAAAAAAAAAAAAAGCAAAAACUAGGUUAAGUGGCAACUCUAGGCCCUUAGAGCCUUUGGCAAAAUUGGGUAGAGAUGAGAGACAAUUGCUGGUUUUGAAAAGAUCAUGCAUAUCUG
RNAcentral lists this long non-coding RNA (6385 nucleotides) under Sus scrofa (pig). Its description in RNAcentral is "lncRNA (ENSSSCG00030059654.1)". The record is from RNAcentral. Lineage: Eukaryota; Metazoa; Chordata; Mammalia; Artiodactyla; Suidae.